GAACUGAAGAGUUUGAUCAUGGCUCAGAUUGAACGCUGGCGGCAGGCCUAACACAUGCAAGUCGAGCGAGAAAGGUUUUCGGACUGAGUACAGCGGCGGACGGGUGAGUAACGCGUAGGAAUCUACCCAGUAGUGGGGGACAACUUAGGGAAACUUAAGCUAAUACCGCAUACGCCCUGAGGGGGAAAGCGGGGGAUCUUCGGACCUCGCGCUAUUGGAAGAGCCUGCGUUAGAUUAGCUAGUUGGUGGGGUAAAGGCUCACCAAGGCGACGAUCUAUAGCUGGUCUGAGAGGAUGAUCAGCCACACUGGGACUGAGACACGGCCCAGACUCCUACGGGAGGCAGCAGUGGGGAAUAUUGCGCAAUGGGCGAAAGCCUG
This is a non-coding RNA of 379 nucleotides. It matches the Rfam family "Bacterial small subunit ribosomal RNA", at positions 1 to 385 of the family's 1533-position model.